AUGCCGCGUGAGUGAAGAAGGCCUUAGGGUUGUAAAACUCUUUCGGCAGGGAAGAUAAUGACGGUACCUGCAGAAGAAGCUCCGGCUAACUCCGUGCCAGCAGCCGCGGUAAUACGGAGGGGGCAAGCGUUGCUCGGAAUUACUGGGCGUAAAGCGAGCGUAGGCGGUUAGUCAAGUUGGUGGUGAAAGCCCAGAGCUUAACUCUGGAACUGCCAUCAAAACUGAUUGACUAGAGAUUGGAAGAGGAAAAUGGAAUUCCUAGUGUAGAGGUGAAAUUCGUAGAUAUUGGGAAGAACACCAGUGGCGAAGGCGAUUUUCUGGGCCAAUUCUGACGCUGAGGUUCGAAAGCGUGGGUAGCAAACAGGAUUAGAUACCCUGGUAGUCCACGCCGUAAACGAUGAGUGCUAGACGUCGGAAAUUAGUUUUCGGUGUCGUAGUUAACGCAUUAAGCACUCCGCCUGGGGAGUACGGUCGCAAGAUUAAAACUCAAAGGAAUUGACGG
RNAcentral lists this ribosomal RNA (502 nucleotides) under uncultured bacterium. RNAcentral describes it as "bacterial SSU rRNA". It matches the Rfam family "Bacterial small subunit ribosomal RNA", at positions 394 to 916 of the family's 1533-position model. The record is from RNAcentral.